RNAcentral lists this ribosomal RNA (392 nucleotides) under uncultured bacterium. RNAcentral describes it as "partial 16S ribosomal RNA". It matches the Rfam family "Bacterial small subunit ribosomal RNA", at positions 523 to 918 of the family's 1533-position model. The record is from RNAcentral.
AUACGUAUGUCGCAAGCGUUAUCCGGAUUUAUUGGGCGUAAAGCGCGUCUAGGCGGCUUAGUAAGUCUGAUGCGAAAAUGCGGGGCUCAACCCCGUAUUGCGUUGGAAACUGCUAAACUAGAGUACUGGAGAGGUAGGCGGAACUACAAGUGUAGAGGUGAAAUUCGUAGAUAUUUGUAGGAAUGCCGAUGGGGAAGCCAGCCUACUGGACAGAUACUGACGCUAAAGCGCGAAAGCGUGGGUAGCAAACAGGAUGAGAUACCCUGGUAGUCCACGCCGUGAACGAUGAUUACUAGGUGUUGGGGGUCGAACCUCAGCGCCCAAGCUAACGCGAUAAGUAAUCCGCCUGGGGAGUACGUACGCAAGUAUGAAACUCAAAGGAAUUGACGGGG